This 394-nucleotide ribosomal RNA is filed under the name uncultured bacterium. Its description in RNAcentral is "bacterial SSU rRNA". It matches the Rfam family "Bacterial small subunit ribosomal RNA", at positions 505 to 898 of the family's 1533-position model. The record is from RNAcentral.
GUGUCAGCCGCCGCGGUAAGACAGAGGGUGCAAACGUUGCUCGGAAUUACUGGGCGUAAAGGGCGCGUAGGCGGACUUGGAAGUCGGGUGUGAAAUCCCUGGGCUCAACCUAGGAACUGCAUUCGAAACUCCAGGUCUAGAGUGACGGAGAGGAAAGCGGAAUUCCCGGUGUAGAGGUGAAAUUCGUAGAUAUCGGGAGGAACACCAGAGGCGAAGGCGGCUUUCUGGACGUCUACUGACGCUGAGGCGCGAAAGCGUGGGGAGCAAACAGGAUUAGAUACCCUGGUAGUCCACGCCGUAAACGAUGGGCACUAGGUGUCGCGACGAUGACUGUUGCGGCGCCGUAGCUAACGCAUUAAGUGCCCCGCCUGGGGAGUACGGCCGCAAGGCUAAA